CUAACAAAAAUAUAUAAGUAAGACUCAAUAUAACCAUUUUAGAAACUUUAAACAAUGUAGAAUCAUUUACAAAAACUUACAAAUUGAUAAGGUUGAGACUCUUGCCCGUUUUGCUUCCUCUUUCAUAUCCAUUUAUGGUUUAAAGUGCAUUUGAUGCCUACUACUACAAAAAAA
RNAcentral lists this small RNA (174 nucleotides) under Arabidopsis thaliana (thale cress). Its description in RNAcentral is "ATSL282660". Lineage: Eukaryota; Viridiplantae; Streptophyta; Magnoliopsida; Brassicales; Brassicaceae. The record is from RNAcentral.